AGUUUGACUGGGGCGGUCUCCUCCUAAAGAGUAACGGAGGAGCACGAAGGUUGGCUAAUCCUGGUCGGACAUCAGGAGGUUAGUGCAAUGGCAUAAGCCAGCUUGACUGCGAGCGUGACGGCGCGAGCAGGUGCGAAAGCAGGUCAUAGUGAUCCGGUGGUUCUGAAUGGAAGGGCCAUCGCUCAACGGAUAAAAGGUACUCCGGGGAUAACAGGCUGAUACCGCCCAAGAGUUCAUAUCGACGGCGGUGUUUGGCACCUCGAUGUCGGCUCAUCACAUCCUGGGGCUGAAGUAGGUCCCAAGGGUAUGGCUGUUCGCCAUUUAAAGUGGUACGCGAGCUGGGUUUAGAACGUCGUGAGACAGUUCGGUCCCUAUCUGCCGUGGGCGCUGGAGAACUGAGGGGGGCUGCUCCUAGUACGAGAGGACCGGAGUGGACGCAUCACUGGUGUUCGGGUUGUCAUGCCAAUGGCACU
RNAcentral lists this ribosomal RNA (473 nucleotides) under Salmonella enterica subsp. enterica serovar Anatum. RNAcentral's name for it is "partial 23S ribosomal RNA". It matches the Rfam family "Bacterial large subunit ribosomal RNA", at positions 2267 to 2739 of the family's 2925-position model. The record is from RNAcentral. Lineage: Bacteria; Pseudomonadati; Pseudomonadota; Gammaproteobacteria; Enterobacterales; Enterobacteriaceae.